UACGUAGGGUGCAAGCGUUGUCCGGAAUUAUUGGGCGUAAAGAGCUCGUAGGCGGUUUGUCGCGUCUGCCGUGAAAGUCCGGGGCUCAACUCCGGAUCUGCGGUGGGUACGGGCAGACUAGAGUGAUGUAGGGGAGACUGGAAUUCCUGGUGUAGCGGUGAAAUGCGCAGAUAUCAGGAGGAACACCGAUGGCGAAGGCAGGUCUCUGGGCAUUAACUGACGCUGAGGAGCGAAAGCCAGGGGAGCAAACGGG
Molecule: ribosomal RNA, 253 nt
Filed under: uncultured bacterium
Lineage: Bacteria
Description: partial 16S ribosomal RNA
Rfam family: Bacterial small subunit ribosomal RNA
Source: RNAcentral